This 253-nucleotide ribosomal RNA is filed under the name uncultured bacterium. Its description in RNAcentral is "partial 16S ribosomal RNA". It matches the Rfam family "Bacterial small subunit ribosomal RNA", at positions 524 to 776 of the family's 1533-position model. The record is from RNAcentral.
UACGAAGGGGGCUAGCGUUGCUCGGAAUUACUGGGCGUAAAGCGCACGUAGGCGGCUUUCUAAGUCGGGGGUGAAAUCCUGGAGCUCAACUCCAGAACUGCCUUCGAUACUGGAAAGCUCGAGUCCGGUAGAGGUGAGUGGAACUGCGAGUGUAGAGGUGAAAUUCGUAGAUAUUCGCAAGAACACCAGUGGCGAAGGCGGCUCACUGGCCCGGUACUGACGCUGAGGUGCGAAAGCGUGGGGAGCGAACAGG